AGUGAACGCUGGCGGUAGGCCUAACACAUGCAAGUCGAACGGCAGCACAGUAAGAGCUUGCUCUUACGGGUGGCGAGUGGCGGACGGGUGAGGAAUACAUCGGAAUCUACUUUUUCGUGGGGGAUAACGUAGGGAAACUUACGCUAAUACCGCAUACGACCUACGGGUGAAAGCAGGGGAUCUUCGGACCUUGCGCGAUUGAAUGAGCCGAUGUCGGAUUAGCUAGUUGGCGGGGUAAAGGCCCACCAAGGCGACGAUCCGUAGCUGGUCUGAGAGGAUGAUCAGCCACACUGGAACUGAGACACGGUCCAGACUCCUACGGGAGGCAGCAGUGGGGAAUGUUGGACAAUGGGCGCAAGCCUGAUCCAGCCAUACCGCGUGGGUGAAGAAGGCAUUCGGGUUGUAAAGCCCUUUUGUUGGGAAAGAAAAGCAGCAGGUUAAUACCCCGCUGUUCUGACGGUACCCAAAGAAUAAGCACCGGCUAACUUCGUG
RNAcentral lists this ribosomal RNA (492 nucleotides) under uncultured bacterium. Its description in RNAcentral is "partial 16S ribosomal RNA". It matches the Rfam family "Bacterial small subunit ribosomal RNA", at positions 29 to 507 of the family's 1533-position model. The record is from RNAcentral.